Long non-coding RNA from Cyprinus carpio carpio, 1600 nucleotides. The record is from Ensembl. NCBI's taxonomy places the organism in Eukaryota, Metazoa, Chordata, Actinopteri, Cypriniformes, Cyprinidae.
CAUCAUAAUAAAAUUUGCUUAAGUAUUACAUACAGAACGUGGGUCAAAAUAUUGUGUUUUUUAAUUAAUUUGGUGCUAUUAUUCGCAGAAGAGUAAACAACAUAUGGGUUUACUGUAUGUGUGUCGCAUGUAGACAGCUAUUUUGAGGAGACAGCAGAUUACCAUUCAUUUGCUGCUCUGAUUGCUGUUGCUACUGUACACGUGGAUAUACUGCAGGCUCAAUCUCACUCAAAUCCAAAGUAAAUCACCAACACUAUCGUCACUUAUUUCUGUUUUAUUGAAGAAAAUACAAUGUAAUUGGCUAAAACGCAUGCGCAGGUUACUUUACUUCCUGAAAAGUGCGCACCUGAGUCCGUGUUGCUUUCAUAUUCAAGCACCAGAGUUUGUUUGGAAGUGGACCAAGACCCAUCUUUUUAGGGCACUUUCACACUAGCACUUUGGUGCUCAGCCAGGUUCCAGGGAUGUCAGAGUUUGUUACGUUUGGCUAGUGUGAAAGUUGUCAUAAGAUUGCAGGUGCGCACCGGGGUACCGAACCUGAGACUACCUGAAGGAGGUGGUCUGAGUUCGAUUGCACUCAAACUGUGGUGCGGUUCGAAUGAAAUAUGAACGCAACAUUGACCAAAUAUUUCUAAACGAACCAAAAACAGAAAGUAAUGACAAGAUGCGGCGCUUUGCAACAUGAUUUGAUGACAUGGAAUAAGCGAUAUAUCCAAAACAAAAGGAGCAGAGGACAAACGUGGAGCAACGAGGAGGUCAGCCAUCUGAAAACUCCUGCCAGGGUAAGGGAGAGCCUGCGCUGUUAUCUCCGCCUUCUUGAAACUUUUUCAGGCUUCUGAUUGGCCAACAUGGCUUUACAGUUGAGAUUAUAUCACCACCUGUUGGUUUGGCAUGCUCUUGACAGUGUAUCAUUGUGUGCAUUUGCGUUUUCAUGUGGACAGAGAUUUUUUUAAAACGAAAGAAGGAAAAAAUGUUUAUAAAAAUACCUGUGUACAUGUGGACAUGGCCUCAGUUUAUUUGAUGUUUUUAAACAAUACAGAGCACCGGUGGUAACCAGAGACAGGAAGCAGCAGAUUAGAAGCAAAGUAGCUUGCUCUCACUGAAGUGGAUAUUUCUAGGGCACAUCUCAAGAUACGCUUUCAUUGCCAUUUAGAAACUGAAUCCCAUUCCAUGCCGCCCCAUUAUUAGACACAUAUUCAUGUCAAAUUCCCAAAGGAGAAAUCAGUUCUCUUACACAGAUUUAACAGCAUAUUAUGAAUGUAUUAUUUGUGUGCAUGGUUAUAUGUUACCGUCUUAGGCUAAUCUGUGAGCAUUCACAUGUAUGUCAAUAAAAAAAGGCCUUUUAAAAUGUUCUUAUGCAAACACACAAUAACUCAGAUCCCACAUUUAGAAUUUUUUAUAUAUAUAUGUUUUGUCCCUAUCUAAUGCAUGUCAUAUCAGGUAAUAAACAAAUUUCAUAUUUUACAUUUUAUAUUUACUGAGCAAACCACACCCAAGAAAUGAAAAUUAUAUAAAAUUAUAAGAUUAGUAUUGCAAUUCAAUAUUUAUGAGUUGCAACAAAACAUUUAGCAUUAUUGUGCUCUAGCAACAUUACCAAACCUAU